Molecule: ribosomal RNA, 117 nt
Filed under: Kineosporia succinea
Lineage: Bacteria; Bacillati; Actinomycetota; Actinomycetes; Kineosporiales; Kineosporiaceae
Source: RNAcentral
UACGGCGAUCAUAGCGGCAGGGAAACGCCCGGUCUCAUUCCGAACCCGGAAGCUAAGCCUGCCUGCGCCGAUGGUACUGCACUGGUUACGGUGUGGGAGAGUAGGACAUCGCCGGAC